UACGUAGGUGGCAAGCGUUAUCCGGAAUUAUUGGGCGUAAAGAGGGAGCAGGCGGCAGCAAGGGUCUGUGGUGAAAGCCUGAAGCUUAACUUCAGUAAGCCAUAGAAACCAGGCAGCUAGAGUGCAGGAGAGGAUCGUGGAAUUCCAUGUGUAGCGGUGAAAUGCGUAGAUAUAUGGAGGAACACCAGUGGCGAAGGCGACGAUCUGGCCUGCAACUGACGCUCAGUCCCGAAAGCGUGGGGAGCAAAUAGG
This 252-nucleotide ribosomal RNA is filed under the name Thomasclavelia ramosa DSM 1402. RNAcentral's name for it is "Erysipelatoclostridium ramosum DSM 1402 partial 16S ribosomal RNA". It matches the Rfam family "Bacterial small subunit ribosomal RNA", at positions 524 to 776 of the family's 1533-position model. Lineage: Bacteria; Bacillati; Bacillota; Erysipelotrichia; Erysipelotrichales; Coprobacillaceae. RNAcentral also lists the same sequence under 2 other names. The record is from RNAcentral.